RNAcentral lists this ribosomal RNA (502 nucleotides) under uncultured bacterium. RNAcentral's name for it is "partial 16S ribosomal RNA". It matches the Rfam family "Bacterial small subunit ribosomal RNA", at positions 28 to 507 of the family's 1533-position model. The record is from RNAcentral.
GACGAACGCUGGCGGCGUGCUUAACACAUGCAAGUCGAACGGUGAAGGGGCCUGCUUUUGUGGGCCCUGGAUGAGUGGCGCACGGGUGAGUAACACGUGAGUAACCUGCCCCCUUCUUCUGGAUAACCGCAUGAAAGUGUGGCUAAUACGGGAUAUUCUGGGUCUGUCGCAUGAUGGGUCUGGGAAAGAUUGCGCCUUUGGGUGUUUUUGGUGGGGGAUGGGCUCGCGGCCUAUCAGCUUGUUGGUGGGGUGAUGGCCUACCAAGGCGGUGACGGGUAGCCGGCCUGAGAGGGUGGACGGUCACACUGGGACUGAGACACGGCCCAGACUCCUACGGGAGGCAGCAGUGGGGAAUAUUGCACAAUGGGCGCAAGCCUGAUGCAGCGACGCCGCGUGAGGGAUGGAGGCCUUCGGGGUGUAAACCUCUUCCGCCAGUGAAGCAGGCCUGCUCCUUGUGGGUGGGUUGACGGUAGCUGGAUAAGAAGCGCCGGCUAACUACGUG